This 286-nucleotide ribosomal RNA is filed under the name Klebsiella pneumoniae. Its description in RNAcentral is "partial 23S ribosomal RNA". It matches the Rfam family "Bacterial large subunit ribosomal RNA", at positions 398 to 688 of the family's 2925-position model. The record is from RNAcentral. Lineage: Bacteria; Pseudomonadati; Pseudomonadota; Gammaproteobacteria; Enterobacterales; Enterobacteriaceae.
UGUGAACUCGAAGAGUAGGGCGGGACACGUGGUAUCCUGUCUGAAUAUGGGGGGACCAUCCUCCAAGGCUAAAUACUCCUGACUGACCGAUAGUGAACCAGUACCGUGAGGGAAAGGCGAAAAGAACCCCGGCGAGGGGAGUGAAAAAGAACCUGAAACCGUGUACGUACAAGCAGUGGGAGCACCUUCGGGUGUGACUGCGUACCUUUUGUAUAAUGGGUCAGCGACUUAUAUUCUGUAGCAAGGUUAACCGUAUAGGGGAGCCGCAGGGAAACCGAGUCUUAAC